GAAAGCAUGCCCUGGAGUUAUGGUAAUAGGCAACUGAAAGUUAGUGAUGCAAUUGGGUGUGGUUGGCAGAACUGCUGAAACAGACCCAAGAGCCCUGCACAGCCCUGCAAUGUAGAUUGCUCACCUCUUAUCUAGGGAUUGUUCUGGCUCCCGAGGGAAAAAUAUAUGGUGGGCCCAGCCAGCCAGCCUGAUCUGUGCUGCAAAAAAAAAAAAAAGAAAAGAAAAGAAAAGAAAAAAAAAAGAAAAAGAAAAGAAGCCUUUUCUUCUAGAUACUAUGCUUCUUCUGGUUCUACCAGCAUUUUAAAAAGGAGAAUACAACCCCUGAGACAUCUUUCCAUCACGCUGCAACCUCCCUGGCUAGUCACACUCUCCAGGAUGAAAAACUUCAAAUGGAGUGUUCUCUUGUAAUGCCUUCCUUUGGGAAGUAUAUUGAACCCUGCCCAGGAUGUUGAAGAGAGGACAAUAUAAUGCAAGAUUACAUAGAUGCUGUUGAAUGGCAAAACAUGAAGAAGGAAGGAACCUAAAAAGGUGUCAAAGUUGAUACAAUUACCUUAAAAUUAAUGAACAAGAUUAUAGUGUGUGGCUCAGUGGAAUUUCCCAACCCUAGAGCAAACUGGAUUUUUCAAUUCAUGUUUCUCCUUGGAAUCUCAAGAGGGUGGGUUGGUCCCAAGAGCAUAUCCAAAUAGUUGCCAGAUAACUCUUUUCCAUUUUUGGUGUGAUUCAUGUUCUUUAAAUUUACACAAACAAUUGCAGGAAAUGGUGGCAUACAUUUAGAUAGAAACCACACCUCUGGUGGCGCAGUGGUUAAAGUGGAGUAUUUCAGGCAAACUCUGCCCACAGCCUGGAGUUCGAUCCUGAUGAUUCAAACUUCCAUCAUUCUGUGGUCGGUAAAUGAGGACCCAGAUUGUUGGGGGCAAUAUGCAAAUAAUACUCACAUUGUAAACCACCCAGAGACUGCUGCAAAGCACUAUGGGGCAUUAUAUAAGCCUAGAAAAGAGGCAUAAGUGCAGUCAGCCAUAUUAUAUAUGAAGCAGAGCAGUCAAAUAUAGGUUGGAAAAAAAAAUCUAAAUGCCCAGUAGAGUUAGAAUUCACUGCAUUGCUUUUCUACCAUUUAAUAUCAUUCAGACUUUUUGCAUGAAAUACCAGUACAGAAUAGAGCCUCUGAUCAUUUGCUGGGCAUUUGGGUUAGGAGGUUUCCUGGUACAUGAUCUGAAAACCUCAGUGAUUGGAUAGCUUUGUAUUUCUUGGAGUCUUAAAAAUGAUUUGCAUUUCAAAUGGAGGUGGCUGCCAUUUUAAGCUCUGUACAAAUCAAAAGGAGAAUAAAGUUUGCGAACAAAGUCACUUUCAUUUAGGAGAGGCGGUUGGGAAUGAUAAAUAUGGCUAUCGUUUUCACUUGAUAAUUGGGUAGAUUAUUAGAUUUGAAUCCUUGCGAUUGACUAACAAGUAACCCUUACAUUUAUUAAUAUUUCAGAAGCAUGAAUUAUUUUAAUGAGAGCACUUACUAAGCCUGUACAACACACACCAUCCACAAUUAAAUAAUAUUAGACUAAUCUUGCUAAUAUGCUGCUGUGGCCAUGUUAGCUGCGAGUAUCGGGAAUUGCUUUCUGAACAUACACAGGGACAUGAAAAAGCAUUUAAUAAUCUCAUUUGGGGAGGGUUCCAAUCUUUUUGGGUAAGGGGGAAUGUUUGGAAUUUUUAGAGCCUGUUCUGGUGUUGCUCCAAAAUGGUUACUAUCAUGGCUACAACUUACCACAAAAUACCCAUGCCCCAGAAUGUAAGCAAAACAGUUGGUUGCAACUCCUCCCCAUUUAUAUGGGACUCAGAGGCGUUAUUAGGGGGAAAGAGUAUGCUUGAGGCUGUUUUGCUUUCAGCAUGCAAAACUGCCACUCUGGUUUUUAAAGGAAAAGUU
Molecule: long non-coding RNA, 1909 nt
Organism: Ahaetulla prasina
Lineage: Eukaryota; Metazoa; Chordata; Lepidosauria; Squamata; Colubridae
Exons: 3
Source: RefSeq, a predicted model, not a curated record